Molecule: long non-coding RNA, 656 nt
Organism: Spinacia oleracea (spinach)
Lineage: Eukaryota; Viridiplantae; Streptophyta; Magnoliopsida; Caryophyllales; Amaranthaceae
Exons: 5
Source: RefSeq, a predicted model, not a curated record
AAAAAAAAUUCUAAAAUCAGAGAAGCGCGCAUUCGUUUUCUCUCUCCUCGAUUCUUCGACCUCUUCCUCUUCAGCUUCGUUCUGUCGUCGCCGUCGCUUCUUCACCGCCGGAGAUCGAUCUCCCCCACCGCCGUUGAUCUCUACCCUCUUCCAGAUCAGACUAAUUCAGGUAGUUUGGAUCACUGGAGCCAGCCGUGGAAUCGGAAAAUUGAAGACAGGUCUACGUAACAAAGGAAGAAAACGACUGAACAUGUCAAACUUGUUUACUUUGGUUGCACUGCCUGCAUUAGGUAGAGCAUGAGGCAGCAGGAACAAGAAACUUUGGAGAACUCAGCAGUUCUCGCACAGUAAGGUUGCCUGAUAUGCGAUUGCCUAUGUAGUACACAUUGUCGUGGCCUGAUAGCUGCUCUAAGAUAACCUGGCCACGCUUCGAUCUCUGCAAGUAUUCAAUUAUCCGAGGGAGCGGCCUUUCACCUUUGAGGAGAUAGAUGAAGUUCGAGAAAUGUUGGCAAACUCCAUUAGUAGUGAUUGUCUUUGAUAUUUUCUUGUAUUAAAUCUUAAAUUAUGGAUGUUAGUUUUUCAUAUAAUUGUAAUGUAAACUACUUUUAUAUUUACAAUUAUAUACUAUUUAAUUUAAUUAUCUAUAUAAUUGGAUA